RNAcentral lists this ribosomal RNA (253 nucleotides) under uncultured bacterium. Its description in RNAcentral is "partial 16S ribosomal RNA". It matches the Rfam family "Bacterial small subunit ribosomal RNA", at positions 524 to 776 of the family's 1533-position model. The record is from RNAcentral.
UACAGAGGGGGCAAGCGUUGUUCGGAAUUACUGGGCGUAAAGGGCGCGUAGGCGGCCAACUAAGUCGGACGUGAAAUCCCCGGGCUCAACCCGGGAACUGCGUCCGAUACUGGAUGGCUUGAAUCUGGGAGAGGGAUGUGGAAUUCCAGGUGUAGCGGUGAAAUGCGUAGAUAUCUGGAGGAACACCGGUGGCGAAGGCGGCAUCCUGGACCGGUAUUGACGCUGAGGCGCGAAAGCCAGGGGAGCAAACGGG